RNAcentral lists this ribosomal RNA (424 nucleotides) under Burkholderia sp. RNAcentral describes it as "bacterial SSU rRNA". It matches the Rfam family "Bacterial small subunit ribosomal RNA", at positions 1011 to 1452 of the family's 1533-position model. The record is from RNAcentral. Lineage: Bacteria; Pseudomonadati; Pseudomonadota; Betaproteobacteria; Burkholderiales; Burkholderiaceae.
GGAGUGCUCGAAAGAGAACCGGCGCACAGGUGCUGCAUGGCUGUCGUCGCUCGUGUCGUGAGAUGUUGGGUUAAGUCCCGCAACGAGCCACCCUUGUCCUUAGUUGCUACGCAAGAGCACUCUAAGGAGACUGCCGGUGACAAACCGGAGGAAGGUGGGGAUGACUCAAGUCCUCAUGGCCCUUAUGGGUAGGGCUUCACACGUCAUACAAUGGUCGGAACAGAGGGUUGCCAACCCGCGAGGGGGAGCUAAUCCCAGAAAGACGUAGUCCGGAUUGCACUCUGCAACUCGAGUGCAUGAAGCUGGAAUCGCUAGUAAUCGCGGAUCAGCAUCGGGGAAUACGUUCCCGGGUCUUGUACACACCGCCCUCAACAGUGGGAGUGGGUUUUACCAGAAGUGGCUAGUCUAACCGCAAGAGACGUCA